UACGUAGGGUGCGAGCGUUGUCCGGAAUUAUUGGGCGUAAAGAGCUCGUAGGCGGUUCGGCAAGUCGGAUGUGAAAUCUCCACGCUCAACGUGGAGGGGCCAUUCGAAACUGCCGUGACUCGAGUCCGGUAGGGGAGUGUGGAAUUCCGGUGUAGCGGUGAAAUGCGCAGAUAUCAGGAGGAACACCGGUGGCGAAGGCGGGUCUCUGGGCG
Molecule: ribosomal RNA, 212 nt
Filed under: uncultured bacterium
Lineage: Bacteria
Description: partial 16S ribosomal RNA
Rfam family: Bacterial small subunit ribosomal RNA
Source: RNAcentral